RNAcentral lists this Y RNA (97 nucleotides) under Piliocolobus tephrosceles (Ugandan red Colobus). RNAcentral describes it as "Y RNA (ENSPTEG00000024988.1)". It matches the Rfam family "Y RNA". From Rfam's summary of the family: Y RNAs are components of the Ro ribonucleoprotein particle (Ro RNP), in association with Ro60 and La proteins. The Y RNAs and Ro60 and La proteins are well conserved, but the function of the Ro RNP is not known. Lineage: Eukaryota; Metazoa; Chordata; Mammalia; Primates; Cercopithecidae. The record is from Rfam by way of RNAcentral.
GGCUGGUCCGAUGUCAGUGGGUUAUCAGAACUUACUAACAUUAGUGUCACUGAAGCUGGUAUACAACCCCCCCACUGCUAAAUCUGACUGGCUUUAC